Molecule: unclassified non-coding RNA, 250 nt
Filed under: Hevea brasiliensis (rubber tree)
Lineage: Eukaryota; Viridiplantae; Streptophyta; Magnoliopsida; Malpighiales; Euphorbiaceae
Source: RNAcentral
AAAUAAGGGGGUUUACUCUCCAACUUCCGACGGUUGCAAAUGAAGACAACAUUACCGGCGCUAGCAGUUGCAGAGUUAAUUGCGAAUUGGAAAACUAAAGAGGUCUUCCCUCUUACAAUCAAUCAAUCAAUCAAUCAUUGAACAAUUUUGAACUUCCAUAAAAAAAAAAAUUCAAAAAAAUUGGCAAAAUUAACUUACGACGAGGGAGGGCCAGAAAGGAGGAGAACUGAGUCACCACUGCAGCAAAAAU